CCUACGGGAGGCAGCAGUCGGGAAUUUUGGGCAAUGGGCGAAAGCCUGACCCAGCAACGCCGCGUGAAGGAUGAAGUAUUUCGGUAUGUAAACUUCGUAAGAAUGGGAAGAAUAAAUGACGGUACCAUUUGUAAGGUCCGGCUAACUACGUGCCAGCAGCCGCGGUAAUACGGGGGGAGCAAGCGUUGUUCGGAUUUACUGGGCGUAAAGGGCGCGUAGGCGGCCACCGCAAGUCGACUGUGAAAUCUCCGGGCUUAACCCGGAAAGGUCAGCCGAUACUGCGGGGCUAGAGUGCAGAAGGGGCAACUGGAAUUCUCGGUGUAGCGGUGAAAUGCGUAGAUAUCGAGAGGAACACCUGCGGCGAAGGCGGGUUGCUGGGCUGACACUGACGCUGAGGCGCGAAAGCUAGGGGAGCGAACGGGAUUAGAUACCCCGGUAGUCCUAGCCUUAAACGAUGAAUGCUUGGUGUCUGGGGUUUUAUAGUCCCCGGGUGCCGUCGCUAACGCUUUAAGCAUUCCGCCUGGGGAGUACGGUCGCAAGACUGAAACUCAAAGGAAUUGACGGA
RNAcentral lists this ribosomal RNA (565 nucleotides) under uncultured Acidobacteriota bacterium. RNAcentral describes it as "bacterial SSU rRNA". It matches the Rfam family "Bacterial small subunit ribosomal RNA", at positions 338 to 917 of the family's 1533-position model. The record is from RNAcentral. Lineage: Bacteria; Pseudomonadati; Acidobacteriota.